AUUGAACGCUGGCGGCAGGCCUAACACAUGCAAGUCGAACGGUAACAGGAAACAGCUUGCUGUUUCGCCGACGAGUGGCGGACGGGUGAGUAAUGUCUGGGAAACUGCCUGAUGGAGGGGGAUAACUACUGGAGACGGUAGCUAAUACCGCAUAACGUCGCAAGACCAAAGAGGGGGACCUUCGGGCCUCUUGCCAUCGGAUGUGCCCAGAUGGGAUUAGCUAGUAGGUGGGGUAACGGCUCACCUAGGCGACGAUCCCUAGCUGGUCUGAGAGGAUGACCAGCCACACUGGAACUGAGACACGGUCCAGACUCCUACGGGAGGCAGCAGUGGGGAAUAUUGCACAGUGGGCGCAAGCCUGAUGCAGCCAUGCCGCGUGUAUGAAGAAGGCCUUCGGGUUGUAAAGUACUUUCAGCGGGGAGGAAGGGAGUAAAGUUAAUACCUUUGCUCAUUGACGUUACCCGCAGAAGAAGCACCGGCUAACUCCGUGCCAGCCGCCGCAGUAA
RNAcentral lists this ribosomal RNA (506 nucleotides) under uncultured bacterium. Its description in RNAcentral is "partial 16S ribosomal RNA". It matches the Rfam family "Bacterial small subunit ribosomal RNA", at positions 30 to 523 of the family's 1533-position model. The record is from RNAcentral.